Molecule: ribosomal RNA, 336 nt
Filed under: Triticum aestivum (bread wheat)
Lineage: Eukaryota; Viridiplantae; Streptophyta; Magnoliopsida; Poales; Poaceae
Description: partial small subunit ribosomal RNA
Source: RNAcentral
AUGGAUCUUGUUGGGGAUCAGCCUAUCUGUGCUUGCACUGCCUGGGCAUGUAUGAUGAAAUCAGGUGGCCGCAUUUCACAUGCUUUGUCUGUGUAUAGUUGUCAACUUCGCCAUCCCAACCAGAGCUACCACCACAUUCCUCUAACUCCUGAUAAUGUUGUUGUGUUCCCUUCUCGUGCUGUGGCAAUAGAAAAUGCUCUUCAAUUGUUCUCACCGGCGCUCGCAAUUGUUGAUGAACAUUUGACCAGACACUUGCCCAAGCAAUGGUUAACAUCUUUAGCAAUUGAGGUAGCUUGCUUUUGUUCUGCUAGAACAGAGUACAGUUACUGUGACUGA